Myiozetetes cayanensis is the source of this 652-nucleotide long non-coding RNA. RefSeq lists it as uncharacterized. The transcript has 3 exons. The record is from RefSeq and is a predicted model, not a curated record. NCBI's taxonomy places the organism in Eukaryota, Metazoa, Chordata, Aves, Passeriformes, Tyrannidae.
CGUGGUGGUUCGAGGUGAUCAUCUGGGAGCAGGCAUCCAGCCCCGCUGCUGGCUGUGGCAGCUGGAAAAGACUUGUGAGCUGCCUCCCCAUGGCAGUAAACGCCAGCUUUGAGCAUUCUGAGCUAUAAGCAGUGCCUUUGGAUGUGAAUCCAUCUUUUCAGCCCUUUUGGAAGGAAACCCAGUGUCCAGAUGGAAAGCUUGAAGAGAAACAACAACAGCGCCAGGAAGGUGUAUAAUUAUGGCUCAUGAUGGCAAAUUUUACAUCCCCAAAUUGGAGUGUUUAAUUCAAUUAGACGUCAUAAAGCUCUCGUUAUCCCCUUCGGAUGUUAAUAAACUCAAGAACUUCCAACUCCCUGUAUUUGCAGCUCUUGCCACCCCAAACUGUUGUUAUUUAUAUGUUUCUAAGCUGUUUCUAAACAGAACAGAUUUUUAUUGCUUUCUGGCCAUAUGCCCAGGAUGGGUGAAGUUUGGGGGGAAAAAAAAUUAAAAACCAUAAACUUCUCUUCAUGUUUUUCUCUCCUCUGCCCUCUUCACCGAGAGGUACAUGAGCUGUGAAAGAAAAUCAGGAGUUAAUGCUGAGGGAGUUGUUUCUGACACCAGUAAGAGGCUCCUCAGGAAUACUGGAGCAUCCUGUGGGAAUUCCACGGGAGAC